This 511-nucleotide ribosomal RNA is filed under the name uncultured bacterium. RNAcentral describes it as "bacterial SSU rRNA". It matches the Rfam family "Bacterial small subunit ribosomal RNA", at positions 30 to 521 of the family's 1533-position model. The record is from RNAcentral.
AGUGAACGCUGGCGGCGUGCCUAACACAUGCAAGUCGUGCGCGAAAGGGAGCAAUCCUGAGUAAAGCGGCGAACGGGUGAGUAACACGUGGUUAACCUGCCUGGAUGUGGGGGAUACCCCGGGGAAACUCGGGACAAUACCGCAUGAUGUCUCUCGGGCGUCGGCCCGGGAGAGCAAAGCCGGGGACCGCAAGGCCUGGCGCAUCCGGAGGGGACCGCGGCCGAUUAGCUAGUUGGCGGGGUAAUGGCCCACCAAGGCGACGAUCGGUAGCCGGCCUGAGAGGGUGAUCGGCCACACCGGAACUGAGACACGGUCCGGACUCCUACGGGAGGCAGCAGUGGGGAAUUUGCGCAAUGGGCGAAAGCCUGACGCAGCAACGCCGCGUGGAGGAUGAAGGUGCUCAGCAUUGUAAACUCCUGUCGGCCGGGAAGAAUCGGCGGGGUGCUAAUCAGCCCCGUCUUGACUGUACCGGCAAAGGAAGCCCGGCUAACUCCGUGCCAGCAGCCGCGGU